CCUACGGGAGGCAGCAGUGAGGAAUAUUGGUCAAUGGUCGCGAGCCUGAACCAGCCAAGUCGCGUGCAGGAAGACGGUCCUAUGGGUUGUAAACUGCUUUUGUCGGGGGACAAAAUGCGCCACGCGUGGUGUUCCGUAGGUACCCCAUGAAAAAGCAUCGGCUAACUCCGUGCCAGCAGCCGCGGUAAUACGGAGGGUGCGGGCGUUAUCCGGAUUUAUUGGGUUAAAAGGGAGCGUAGGCGGAAGAUCAAGGGAGCGUUAAAAGUCCGGGGCCAAACCUGUGCGCGCCGUUGAAACUGGUUUGCUUGAGUGAGCGAGAAGUAUGCGGAAUGCGUGGUGUAGCGGUGAAAUGCAUAGAUAUCACGCAGAACUCCGAUUGCGAAGGCAGCAUACCGGAGCGCAACUGACGCUCAUGCACGAAAGUGUGGGUAUCGAACAGGAUUAGAUACCCUUGUAGUC
Molecule: ribosomal RNA, 459 nt
Filed under: uncultured bacterium
Lineage: Bacteria
Description: partial 16S ribosomal RNA
Rfam family: Bacterial small subunit ribosomal RNA
Source: RNAcentral